This 103-nucleotide non-coding RNA is filed under the name Desulfovibrio sp. RNAcentral describes it as "TPP sequence". It matches the Rfam family "TPP riboswitch aptamer (THI element)". Rfam says of the family: Vitamin B(1) in its active form thiamin pyrophosphate (TPP) is an essential coenzyme that is synthesised by coupling of pyrimidine and thiazole moieties in bacteria. The record is from RNAcentral. Lineage: Bacteria; Pseudomonadati; Thermodesulfobacteriota; Desulfovibrionia; Desulfovibrionales; Desulfovibrionaceae.
UUCGGCAGCUAGGGGCGUCUUUUUAGACUGAGAUGACAUUAACGUCGGUCCCUUCGAACCUGAUGCGGGUAAUUCUGCCGGAGGGAAGCUGCUAUAGAUAUUA